GAUGAACGCUCGCGGCAGGCCUAACACAUGCAAGUCGAGGGGUAGAAGGAGCUUGCUCCUUUGAGACCGGCGCACGGGUGCGUAACGCGUAUGCAAUCUACCUUGUACAGGGGAAUAGCCCAGAGAAAUUUGGAUUAAUGCCCCAUAGUAUAUAACCUUCGCAUGUUGGUUAUAUUAAAGUUCCAACGGUACAAGAUGAGCAUGCGUCCCAUUAGUUAGUUGGUAAGGUAACGGCUUACCAAGACGAUGAUGGGUAGGGGUCCUGAGAGGGAGAUCCCCCACACUGGUACUGAGACACGGACCAGACUCCUACGGGAGGCAGCAGUGAGGAAUAGUGGUCAAUGGUCGCAAGACUGAACCAGCCAUGCCGCGUGCAGGAAGACGGUCCUAUGGAUUGUAAACUGCUUUUAUACAGGAAGAAACCCUCCCACGUGUGGGAGCUUGACGGUACUGUAGGAAUAAGGAUCGGCUAACUCCGUG
RNAcentral lists this ribosomal RNA (480 nucleotides) under uncultured bacterium. RNAcentral describes it as "partial 16S ribosomal RNA". It matches the Rfam family "Bacterial small subunit ribosomal RNA", at positions 28 to 507 of the family's 1533-position model. The record is from RNAcentral.